Molecule: long non-coding RNA, 270 nt
Filed under: Helianthus annuus (common sunflower)
Lineage: Eukaryota; Viridiplantae; Streptophyta; Magnoliopsida; Asterales; Asteraceae
Description: sRNA HanXRQr2_Chr14g0646801
Source: RNAcentral
UGUCGGUCUUCCACCACCAAAUGACCUUUGUUGACCUCGGCCACCACGAGCCCCACCUCGACCUCUACCUCUACCUCUAACAGCAGUACGCCUACUCUUAAUCAUAUCAUCAAGUGACAUAUCUAAAGAUGCCAUUGCAAAGAACACAAAGUACACAACCUAUUGUUACAGAUCUGAGUCGUUACGAUAUAUGAGAGACGAACUUUGGAUGAUGGAUGCUGGUAGAUGAAGGAUUAUACGAUGAGGAGCAAAGAGAUGCCUGUGAUUUAU